UACGUAGGCAGCAAGCGUUGUUCGGAAUUACUGGGCGUAAAGAGUGUGUAGGCGGUGUUCUAAGUUUGGCGUGAAAUCUCCCGGCUUAACUGGGAGGGUGCGGCGAAAACUGGAAUGCUAGAGGAUGGGAGAGGUAAGCGGAAUUCCUGGUGUAGCGGUGAAAUGCGUAGAUAUCAGGAGGAACACCUGUGGUGUAGACAGCUUACUGGACCAUUUCUGACGCUGAGACACGAAAGCGUGGGUAGCAAACAGG
RNAcentral lists this ribosomal RNA (253 nucleotides) under uncultured bacterium. Its description in RNAcentral is "partial 16S ribosomal RNA". It matches the Rfam family "Bacterial small subunit ribosomal RNA", at positions 524 to 776 of the family's 1533-position model. The record is from RNAcentral.